RNAcentral lists this unclassified non-coding RNA (359 nucleotides) under Hevea brasiliensis (rubber tree). The record is from RNAcentral. Lineage: Eukaryota; Viridiplantae; Streptophyta; Magnoliopsida; Malpighiales; Euphorbiaceae.
CACGUUUCCAUUUCCUAUAUUUUUAAAAAUACCGUUUCCCAGUGUCCAUUUCCGCGUUUUCCCGUGUCCGCGUUUCCGUUUCCGUGCUACAUAGACUGCUGGUGUGUGUGCUUCAAUUAUCUCCAACCAAUAGACUAUCUACUGAUGGUGAUAAUUUUUCCUUUUAAUUAAAUAAUUAAAUUUAACUAUCAAAAGCCCAUAAGUCUUUCAUUUUAAUUUUGUCGUAAUGGAAAUGAAAGUUUAAGUUUUCAUUUCUUAAAUUUUCCCUUACAUAUUUUUACUUGAAUUUUUCUUCAAUUUUUACCCUAUAAUUCAAUUCAUUAAUUUCAUUUAAAAAGGUACAUGCCAUGAACAAACAA